CAGCCGCCGCGGGAAUACGUAGGGUGCGAGCGUUAAUCGGAAUUACUGGGCGUAAAGCGUGCGCAGGCGGUUUGUUAAGACAGAUGUGAAAUCCCCGGGCUUAACCUGGGAACUGCAUUUGUGACUGGCCGGCUAGAGUAUGGCAGAGGGAGGUGGAAUUCCACGUGUAGCAGUGAAAUGCGUAGAUAUGUGGAGGAACACCGAUGGCGAAGGCAGCCUCCUGGGCCAAUACUGACGCUCAUGCACGAAAGCGUGGGGAGCAAACAGGAUUAGAUACCCCCGUAGUCCCUGUCUCUUAUAU
RNAcentral lists this ribosomal RNA (301 nucleotides) under uncultured bacterium. Its description in RNAcentral is "partial 16S ribosomal RNA". It matches the Rfam family "Bacterial small subunit ribosomal RNA", at positions 509 to 809 of the family's 1533-position model. The record is from RNAcentral.